RNAcentral lists this long non-coding RNA (5038 nucleotides) under Taeniopygia guttata (zebra finch). RNAcentral describes it as "lncRNA (ENSTGUG00000029120.1)". The record is from RNAcentral. Lineage: Eukaryota; Metazoa; Chordata; Aves; Passeriformes; Estrildidae.
GGACUGGUGACCCCACAGACCCCCGCCCGCCGUCCUGCUCUCCCUGAGACUGAGCUCACUCCAGCCCCCACAGCUGGGUCUCCUCUGCUCCCCUGUGCCUUGCCCUCUCGUACCUGAGGGUAUCGCCUCCCUGUCGGCAGGCUGGGAUUCCAUCUCCUCCAUUCCCCUCUUCAUUCCAGUUUCCUGGCUCCAUCUCCUUUCCCAGAUCCCACCAGUGGCCGUCCACCAUCAACACCUGUUCGUGGUGUGUAUACUCUGUAUCACUGGGCAAAGAAGUGCCAAACCAUGAAAUCUCCUGUGUGCUCUGCAUAAGGGCAGCUGAAGCCAAGGGCCAGUAACUGCCCUGGCACCAGUAACUCAGGGACUUUGAUUUUCCUGGAACAGAUUUUCCUGUGUGCUGCUGUAAAAUGGGUCGAUGCUCACUGAUGCCUAGAACAUGUCCUGAUUUGGGGGUAUCAGUGGGGAGUGACUCUCUUGCUGCAGACCAACAACAGAAAAACUGUGUGGAGCAUGAGGCAUUGUUUUGUUAGGCCUAACACCAUGUCUGCAUUGAAUAUUAAAACAGUUGAAUGUAUUUCAGGUGCAUUGUUGUGCCAAGAUAUUUUGUAGGUCUUACCACAUGCUUAAAAACUAGAGGAUGGAUGAAAAAAACCACAAUUAAUAUUUUUUUCUCAAUAAUAUAUUGGGAUGCAUUUUUUCAUUACCCAUGCAACUCUUACAUGGUGAGGCUGCAGCUGUGGUGCAAUGUGUUCAAGCUUCUCUCUGCAACCAUGAGAACAUUUUAAAAUGGAGACUUGAGAUUCUUUUUGGGGUAUGUACAGCCCCUAUUGUGCUGGCAUGUGGUGUUGCAGUGCUGGGCAAACUAGGAUAGCUGUGUGGCAUAGCUCCAUGUAAAGGUGUUAAUGCAGGUCUGGGACUGGUGCCUGGAUAAUUCCAUGUUAGCAGGGCCUAUGAGUUGUGCUUUAUGCAUUGGUAAUGUUAGUCCCUGCUGCUGAGUUUCUGGACUUUGUUGAGGUUGUGGUCACAGUGUGGGACAGACACACAUCUACUCACCUGAAUCCAGAAGACAGACCCCCAGGAGAAGCAAAUAGCGUAACACUAAUUGUAAUAGAAGUAUAAUUUUGAAAAUGCUUUCACAAGAGAAAUUAUAGCUAAGAUAAUACCAGUGAUUACAUGAUUUCAAGUGCUUUCAUUUCCAGGUGCCCUACUAGCUACAUCUUCAAGAAAUCAUACUUUAUGAAAAUGGGUUCUCAGCAUUUUCAGGUAGCUCAAGCCAAGAGUGAGAUAAAUUACUUACAAAUCUUGCUUGAACUACUUGCUCAAAAUGUGAUCUAAAAUCAGGAAAUCCUGGGGGGCGGGUGUGGUGGUGGUGGAUAUUAGUCACAGUAGCUAGAGUGGAAUUGAUGUGGGAAACCUAAAUAUUAAGGAAGGAAAAUUCCUGUUAGGACAUUGUUUUAAUCUGUCUGCUAGUCAUAUUACACAAAGUAGGUUUAAGUCAUUUCAGAGGUUUCAUUGUAUCAUUAUUGAUUGCUGCUUGGGAGAAUUCACAAGGACAACAUCUAUCUCAUGCUGGAAUGCUGACUUUGCCAGAGGAAAGGAGAUUGCCACAGAGGAUUAAUUGCUGAGACCUGAGCAGCUGCCGAAGCUAUCGAAGAAGGAACUGUUUUCUUGGAGGGUGAUGUAGCAAAGUGACAUUGGGAGAAGUUGCUUCCCUUUUUCAGCAUUUGCUGAGCCCAUGGAGUUGUAUGGCAUAGGGGGCACCGAGACAUAAGUGACUUUUUCUCCUCUCCCACCCCCUCUGCUUAAGGGAUCUUGGAGAUUUCUUCCUUUGGUUACUGAUCAACAGUGGUAGUCUAAAAAAAGCUGUGAAAAGUGUAAGUUUUCUUACAGAAGAGUUUGGCAGUGGCCACCGGCAUUAUGGGUGCAGAUAUGGUCAGAAAUGGUCACAAAAUAGUGAUAAAACUGGGUGGUCCUUGCAUUAUGAACUAUACUGAGUAUACCAAACUAUGGCUUAGUCCCAAAUUCUGCCUAAGCAUCCAAAUGAGUUUUCCACCUUUUAGUUCUUCCAGAAAUGUCCAAACUCCCUGACAUUGCUGGUGCCUAUGAGGAUGAAUGCCACAAGCUGGUAAAUCCCAAAACAGACCAUAACAGAAAUGUCUGAAUGAUUACCAUUAAUUGGCCAGCUUAGACCCUUUGUUGAUAGAAAAGAGUAUCCCUCAGCUGAGAGCUAGAUCUCUCAGACAGAGAAUUCAAACCUGCCGUAAGAUGUACAGCAUGACUGGCAAAGGUCAGUUUGGUCCACCAGAUCCCUCUUCCUGGAGAGGAGUUAAGUAGUGUUGGCUGUACUAAAAUAUUUAGGAAACAUCACACCAGACACAGGGUCACCACACUGACCACAGCAUAAGGGGACUGCUUUUAUUUGUUUGUUUGCUUUUCAAGAGGAACGUGGUACUUGGAGGUAAACAUGAGAAGCUUUCACCUUUCCAAGUCAGACGAGAUUUGUGCUUGAGAGAUACCUCACAUUUCCUUUAACAUAUGACAUGAUGGGCAGGUCUAGAUUUUAGCUGUCUCAGGCCCACUAGACUGCCCAUACAGGCUUGCCAGUGGUCAACACCUUUAAUGAAAGCUUGAAAACAUGACAGGAAUCUGAAGGCAUCAGAAAGAUUAAAUUUAUAUACUAUAUUGAUGCACUGAACUGUGAAAUAAAGCAUACAUACAUUCAGAUAAAAUUAAGCCAGUUUGCAGUCAUUACCUGUAUGCCAUGAGAUGGGGUCCUCAGGAUUAGCUAUUGUGCCUGUCUUUAGUCCAAUGGUGAGGGAUUUUCUGGCCAUAGAAGCAGAACAUGCUUAUCUAUCCCAUUCUGUAAUAGAUAGGGUGUACAUGUCUAUCUGGAUGCCUCCAGGUGCUGUAUCUAAAACUACCUGAGUGUGCCUGUCUCUCUUCCUCCACACUGAGUUUUCCUUAGCACAUUCCAAAAGCAUAUACUUGCAUUGCUUAAUUAUUAUUAAUAGUAAUAUUAUGCAGAAGUCACAUGCUUUAUAGGGUAUUUUGGGAUCUGUGACUCACUAAACCAUAAUUUUCUGUUCACAGGUUACCUGAAGAAAAUUGUCUUUUUGGAAUUCUAUUCUUGGCUGGAAGAUGUGGGGGAAAUUGUAAAUAUUGUGAAAAGUACUGGAUCUUACAUAUCUGUGAGCUGUCCCAGCCUUCCUCCAGGUGCAAUUUUUUCUGCCUGCACAUAAGAUGAUUAAUUUACAGGCAUAUGGAACAGAUUCUCUGAAUUUCAGGAUACUGCUGUAAGGAAACUGGAAAGGCUCCUCAGACAGCUGAGGAAGCUGGACACUUGGGCUCUGGUGGGGCAUUGAAGGGCUGGAGAAUCUUUCCUAUGAAGACAGGCUGAGGGAGUUGGGGUUGUUCAGCCUGGAGAAAAGAAAGCUUGGAUGGGGGGGACCUUAUUGUAGCCUUUCAGCACCUAAAGGGGUUAGAAAAGAGUUGGAGAGGGACUUUUGACAAGGGCAGGUAGUGUUAUGAUAUGGAGGGAUGGCUUCAAACUGAAAGAGGGUAGAUUUAUUGGACAUAAAGGAGGCAUUUGUCUUUCAUGGAGGAGGUGAGGCAGAGAAGCUUCUAGAGGUUGCCCAGAGAAGCUUCUAGAGAACACAUCCCUAGGAGUGUUCAAGACCAAGCUGGAUGGGUCUUUGAGCAAUUUGUGCUAGUGGAAGUUGUCCAUGCCCAUGGCAGGUAGGUUGGAACAUGAUGAUCUUUAAGGUUCCUUCCAACCCAAACCAUUCUGUGAUUCUUCUAGAUGGAUGUGAAUCCACUGUAGCAUUUAUGCUGUUAGGUGAGCUUUUUAUAAACUGGAACUCUAAAGACUGCUAUGAGGAAGCAAUUUUAUAUAUAUUGAAAACCAGGUAUCAAUUUGGAAAGCAGUAUAGCAUAUAAGGCCUCGUUCCAGUUCUUGUGUAUUCAUUCAUGUUGAUGGGACUGUUGACUAUGUGAGAGUUGUUUCAUCAAAUCCUUCCUACCAAAGCACAAGCCUCACCUAUUUCCUAUUGUGAUGAAAAUAGUGUCAAUCCCUUGUGAACAGAAAAGAUCCCUCAUUGCCUUAAUUCAACUGCAGAAUUCCCAAACAGCAGCAAGCUUCCAGCAUAAACAGCUGCUGCUGCUGCUGCUACAGUCUGUCACCAGCUUAGUCAAUCAUCCAUUAUUUAUUUCCAAACUGUAUGUAAAGCUCUGCAGCAUAGCCUUUUAUGUCCAUAUAUAGGGAAAAGAAGAGAAAGAACUUCUGAAAGCCCAGGAGAACAAAAACAGAGAAGCCUCUGAAAUCCUUUGUUGGGGAAAUUGUCUUAUGUAGUUAUAUCCAAGGAAGAGAGGAAAGGGAAAUAAAAUCACAUUUAACAGAAGGUAACACCUUGGUACAAAUUCCUUUGAUCUCUCAAUAUCAUUUGUUGUAGUCAAAAUUCCUUUUUAGAACAUGAGAUCCUUUGUUUACCAGUGUCCAUCAAACACAACACACUUGGAGAGUAUUGUGCAUGUCUUUUUCCGCAGUCUGCAUUCUGUGUUGGGUCAGUUCUUCCUGCGGGCUGUUUGAUGCCUGCUGACUGCUUGGUUGAGAAUGGUUAAUCAGGACUACAAUGAAUCUCCCAGGAAUAGUAUACAAUCAAGGAAGAAUAGCUCACAGAAAUGUUUUCAGGCAAAUAAGAGAGUCCCUGUGACAAGCCGUUGCAUGUGUGCGUAUAUGAGCAGCAUCUUUGUCACAAAAAAUGCAUGCUGACAAUACUAAGAGGUGGAUGGGUAAACAGAGCAGCUGUUCAGAAUUAAAACAACUGUUCCAAAUUCUGGUUUUAGCAUUCUGGAUUAUUUCCUUCUUUUUCAUAAAUGCGGUAACAAAUUGCUAACUAAGAGGUUUACCCAUGAACCCAGAACUGGUCAAAUCACAAUUUAACAUCAUUCCCAGUGUUUCUUUUUGCACUUUAAUUAAAAGUGAGUACUCUGAUUUGCAGAAGAGCCACACUGGAAGGAAAUGCUGAAAAAAAAAAAAAAA